Molecule: small RNA, 127 nt
Filed under: Marmota monax (woodchuck)
Lineage: Eukaryota; Metazoa; Chordata; Mammalia; Rodentia; Sciuridae
Source: RNAcentral
GCCAGGCGCUGUGGUGCACGCCUGUAAUCCCAGCAGCUUGGGAGGCUGAGGCAGGAGGAUUAUUAGUUCAAAGCCAGUCUCAGCAACUUAGCAAGGUACUUAGCAACUCAGCCAGAACCUGUCUCUA